This 63-nucleotide transfer RNA is filed under the name Chilocorus rubidus. RNAcentral describes it as "tRNA-Ile". The record is from RNAcentral. Lineage: Eukaryota; Metazoa; Arthropoda; Insecta; Coleoptera; Coccinellidae.
AAUAGAGUGCCUGAUUAAAGGAUUAUUUUGAUAGAAUAAAUUAUGUGCCACCCACCUCUAUUU